CCCUUAGAUGUCCUGGGCCGCACGCGCGCUACACUGAUGCAUUCAACGAGUAUUUCCUUGGCCGAGAGGCCUGGGCAAUCUUUUAAACCUGCAUCGUGAUAGGGAUAGAUUAUUGCAAUUAUUAAUCUUGAACGAGGAAUUCCUAGUAAACGCAAAUCAUCAAUUUGCAUUGAUUACGUCCCUGCCCUUUGUACACACCGCCCGUCGCACCUACCGAUUGAAUGGUCCGGUGAAAUCUCGGGAUUGUGGCCAGUUCACUUUAUUGGGAGUUGGCUGCGAGAACUUGCUUAAACCUUAUCAUUUAGAGGAAGGUGAAGUCGUAAC
Molecule: ribosomal RNA, 324 nt
Filed under: uncultured eukaryote
Lineage: Eukaryota
Description: partial 18S ribosomal RNA
Rfam family: Eukaryotic small subunit ribosomal RNA
Source: RNAcentral